CCCUUAGAUGUUCGGGGCCGCACGCGCGCUACACUGAAGGAAUCAGCGUGCUUUUGUCCUGGUCUGGAAAGACUGGGUAACCCGUUGAACCUCCUUCGUGCUAGGGAUUGGGGCUUGCAAUUAUUCCCCAUGAACGAGGAAUUCCCAGUAAGCGCAAGUCAUCAGCUUGUGUUGAUUACGUCCCUGCCCUUUGUACACACCGCCCGUCGCUACUACCGAUUGAAUGGUUUAGUGAGACCCUCGGAUUCGUCCCAGCACAGUGGGUUUCUGCUGAGCUGGUGCGCGGAGAAGACGGUCGAACUUGAUCAUUUAGAGGAAGUAAAAGUUGUAACA
Molecule: ribosomal RNA, 333 nt
Filed under: uncultured eukaryote
Lineage: Eukaryota
Description: partial 18S ribosomal RNA
Rfam family: Eukaryotic small subunit ribosomal RNA
Source: RNAcentral